AGCUAAUAGAUACCCAGGUAGUCCACGCCGUAAACGAUGGGUACUAGGUGCCUGGGGGAGCGACCCCUUGGGUGCCGGCGCUAAACGCAGGAAGUACCCCGCCUGGGGAGUACGGCCGCAAGGCUGAAACUCAAAGGAAUUGACGGGGGCCCGCACAAGCGGUGGAGCAUGUGGUUUAAUUCGACGCAACGCGAAGAACCUUACCUAGGCUUGACAUGCAUGGAAACUCCUCAGAAACGAGGAGCCUCCUUCGGGAUCCAUGCACAGGUGCUGCAUGCUGUCGUCAGCUCGUGUCGUGAGAUGUUGGGUUAAAGUCCCGCAACGAGCGCAACCCCUGUUCUUAGUUACCAGCGCGUAAUGGCGGGGACUCUAGGAAGACUGCCGGUGCCAAA
This 392-nucleotide ribosomal RNA is filed under the name uncultured bacterium. Its description in RNAcentral is "bacterial SSU rRNA". It matches the Rfam family "Bacterial small subunit ribosomal RNA", at positions 767 to 1162 of the family's 1533-position model. The record is from RNAcentral.